RNAcentral lists this ribosomal RNA (487 nucleotides) under uncultured bacterium. RNAcentral describes it as "bacterial SSU rRNA". It matches the Rfam family "Bacterial small subunit ribosomal RNA", at positions 8 to 518 of the family's 1533-position model. The record is from RNAcentral.
AGAGUUUGAUCCUGGCUCAGAAUGAACGCUGGCGGCAUGGAUUAGGCAUGCAAGUCGAACGUACUCCCUUCGGGGAGAAAGUGGCGAAAGGGUGAGUAACACGUGAGCAACCUGCCUCCGGAUCCGGAAUAAUCCAGGGAAACUUGGUCUAAAACCGGAUGAAGACAUUGGGCCGCAUGGUCUGGUGUUAAAAUAUUUAUAGUCCGGAGAGGGGCUCGCGGCCCAUUAGCUUGUUGCGGGGUAAUGGCCCACCAAGGCUACGACGGGUAGGUGGUCUGAGAGGAUGGUCACCCACACUGGGACUGAGACACUGCCCAGACUCCUACGGGAGGCUGCAGUCGAGAAUCUUCCGCAAUGGGCGCAAGCCUGACGGAGCGAUGCCGCGUGAGGGAUGAAGGCCUUCGGGUUGUAAACCUCUGUCAUCCGGGACGAAAACAAUGACGGUACCGGAAAAGGAAGCCACGGCUAACCACGUGCCAGCAGCCGC